CUGGAACCUCUCGGGGUUACAGCCUUGCUGAAUUAUUCACCCUUGUCUUUUGCGUACUUCUUGUUUCCUUGGUGGGUUCGCCCACCACUAGGACAAACAUAAACCUUUUGUAAUUGCAAUCAGCGUCAGUAACAAAUUAAUAAUUACAACUUUCAACAACGGAUCUCUUGGUUCUGGCAUCGAUGAAGAACGCAGCGAAAUGCGAUAAGUAGUGUGAAUUGCAGAAUUCAGUGAAUCAUCGAAUCUUUGAACGCACAUUGCGCCCUUUGGUAUUCCAAAGGGCAUGCCUGUUCGAGCGUCAUUUGUACCCUCAAGCUUUGCUUGGUGUUGGGCGUCUUGUCUCUAGCUUUGCUGGAGACUCGCCUUAAAGUAAUUGGCAGCCGGCCUACUGGUUUCGGAGCGCAGCACAAGUCGCACUCUCUAUCAGCAAAGGUCUAGCAUCCAUUAAGCCUUUUUUUCAACUUUUGACCUCGGAU
RNAcentral lists this small RNA (476 nucleotides) under Alternaria alternata. RNAcentral's name for it is "eukaryotic LSU rRNA". The stretch from base 148 to 301 matches the Rfam family "5.8S ribosomal RNA". Lineage: Eukaryota; Fungi; Ascomycota; Dothideomycetes; Pleosporales; Pleosporaceae. The record is from RNAcentral.